RNAcentral lists this long non-coding RNA (233 nucleotides) under Capsicum annuum. Its description in RNAcentral is "long non-coding RNA (CANN_LNC002027)". Lineage: Eukaryota; Viridiplantae; Streptophyta; Magnoliopsida; Solanales; Solanaceae. The record is from RNAcentral.
AUCCACCCUUCCCCAUCUUUUAUGUUGUUUGCUUCAUCUUUUUCAUAUUACUUGGUCUUUAUAUCAAAAUAUAUAUUUUAGUUUACUUGUCUACUUCAAAAAAAUUACGAGAGUUUGAUUAUAGUUUUUCUCUUUUUAUCCUCAAUAUUAAAUAACUAUAUAAAAUAGUAUUAGUCAAAUUUAGAUUCUAAAGUAUUAUUAACAACGUUAAUUUAAUGAAAUACUUCUAAUUU